Molecule: ribosomal RNA, 373 nt
Filed under: uncultured Bacteroidota bacterium
Lineage: Bacteria; Pseudomonadati; Bacteroidota
Description: bacterial SSU rRNA
Rfam family: Bacterial small subunit ribosomal RNA
Source: RNAcentral
UAAUACGGAGGGUGCAAGCGUUAUCCGGAUUUAUUGGGUUUAAAGGGUCCGCAGGCGGGAUUCUAAGUCAGUGGUGAAAGCCUACAGCUCAACUGUAGAACUGCCAUUGAUACUGGAAUCCUUGAGUGUGGUUGAAGUAGACGGAAUAUGUCAUGUAGCGGUGAAAUGCAUAGAUAUGACAUAGAACACCAAUUGCGUAGGCAGUUUACUAAACCAUUACUGACGCUCAUGGACGAAAGUGUGGGGAGCGAACAGGAUUAGAUACCCUGGUAGUCCACACCGUAAACUAUGAUCACUAGAUGUUGGCGAUAUACAGUCAGUGUCUUAGAGAAAUCGUUAAGUGAUCCACCUGGGGAGUACGUUCGCAAGAAUG